Molecule: ribosomal RNA, 471 nt
Filed under: uncultured anaerobic ammonium-oxidizing bacterium
Lineage: Bacteria
Description: bacterial SSU rRNA
Rfam family: Bacterial small subunit ribosomal RNA
Source: RNAcentral
UUCGCAAUGCCCGAAAGGGUGAACGAGCGACGCCGCGUGCGGGAUGAAGGGUUUCGGCUUGCAAACCGCUUUUUUUCGGGAAGAAUGCACCGGUCGCGAACCGGUGAGGGACGGUACCGGAAGAAUAAGCCCCGGCUAACUCCGUGCCAGCAGCCGCGGUAAGACGAAGGUGGCAAGCGUUGCUCGGAAUCACUGGGCAUAAAGCGCGCGUAGGUGGCGUGGUAAGUCAGUGGUGAAAUCCCAUAGCUUAACUAUGGAACUGCCGCCGAUACUGCCAUGCUUGAGGACGGUAGGGGAGAGUGGAACUCCUGGUGUAGCGGUGAAAUGCGUAGAUAUCAGGAGGAGCGCCGGUGGCGAAAGCGACUCUCUGGGCCGCUCCUGACACUGAUGCGCGAGAGCUAGGGGAGCAAACAGGAUUAGAUACCCUGGUAGUCCUAGCUGUAAACGAUGGGCACUAAGUAGAGGGGUUUU